UGAUAUAUAGCAGCUACUUAGGGUAAUAUAUCAUUUUGAAAAACCCUAGCCGCUCUUAGAGAGAGACUAGAGAGAAAACAGUUUCAAAAUCCAUUCCUUUUGGUGGCUAGUACCGCAAGUCCUUCUUAUUGCAGAAUCGUUCGACGGUUCGUGCGGCGUUCGUGUGGAUACCGUAGAGGCGCAAUCGGUUUGUAUUGCAUUGGAGAUUCGAGGCGCA
This 217-nucleotide long non-coding RNA is filed under the name Panax ginseng (ginseng). RNAcentral describes it as "long non-coding RNA (PGIN_LNC019112)". The record is from RNAcentral. Lineage: Eukaryota; Viridiplantae; Streptophyta; Magnoliopsida; Apiales; Araliaceae.